This is a long non-coding RNA of Silurus meridionalis, 512 nucleotides long. RefSeq lists it as uncharacterized. Lineage: Eukaryota; Metazoa; Chordata; Actinopteri; Siluriformes; Siluridae. The record is from RefSeq and is a predicted model, not a curated record. The transcript has 4 exons.
GCUUCCACUAUUUGUUUAUAUUAAUUUUAACUGCAAAAUAAAUCUAAAAUAAUGAGAAAAAAAAAGCAAAGGAGAAUAUAACAAGGGCGUUUUAUUAGGGUUACCUCUCAUCUAUAGGAUUCAUUUCCAAACGAAAAAACAAACAAACCUCGAUUGAAAACUAUGAUGACUCGAUUACUUCUAUGACGUUCUGUCGUAUCUGUGAUCGUUUGCUCUGGUCUGCAGCACUGCUCUCCGCGUUCUAGUGUAACCGGAGGGAGGAGACCGUGUGUUCAGAAAGGCGCUAUGGCUGAAUAAUAUCUGCGUACAAGAUGUGUGGCUCUUCAGCGGCACCAGUUUGAGGAACAUUACCCUCUAACAGGGUUUAAACACGAGGAUUGGAUUGAACAUCAGAAUACAUCCCUUCACAUUGAGAGUUGUAGACGUCUCAGAAAACAAUAUCCUGAUUGGAAUGCAGAGAAAGUUUCCCUUACAAGAACUCCUAGCCCCAAACACCACCAUGGAUCAUCCAG